AGGCUUGAUCCUGGCUCAGGAUGAACGCUAGCGGCAGGCCUAAUACAUGCAAGUCGAACGGUAGGAUUUGUAGCAAUACGAAUCUGAGAGUGGCGCACGGGUGCGUAACACGUAUGCAACCUACCCUUAACAGGGGGAUAGCCCGGGGAAACCCGGAUUAAUACCCCAUAGUAUUAUUUAGAGGCAUCUUUAAAUAAUUAAAGCUGAGGUGGUUAAGGAUGGGCAUGCGCAUGAUUAGCUAGUUGGCGGGGUAACGGCCCACCAAGGCGAUGAUCAUUAGGGGAACUGAGAGGUUGAUCCCCCACACUGGCACUGAGAUACGGGCCAGACUCCUACGGGAGGCAGCAGUAGGGAAUAUUGGUCAAUGGGCGGUAGCCUGAACCAGCCAUGCCGCGUGCAGGAAGACGGCCUUCUGGGUUGUAAACUGCUUUUAUCUGGGGAUAAAAAGCCCAUGCGUGGGACAUUGCAGGUACCGA
Molecule: ribosomal RNA, 476 nt
Filed under: uncultured Flexibacteraceae bacterium
Lineage: Bacteria; Pseudomonadati; Bacteroidota; Cytophagia; Cytophagales; Cytophagaceae
Description: bacterial SSU rRNA
Rfam family: Bacterial small subunit ribosomal RNA
Source: RNAcentral